RNAcentral lists this ribosomal RNA (468 nucleotides) under uncultured bacterium. RNAcentral describes it as "partial 16S ribosomal RNA". It matches the Rfam family "Bacterial small subunit ribosomal RNA", at positions 28 to 507 of the family's 1533-position model. The record is from RNAcentral.
GACGAACGCUGGCGGCGGGCUUAACACAUGCAAGUCGAACGGAAAGGCCCUGCUUUUGUGGGGUGCUCGAGUGGCGAACGGGUGAGUAACACGUGAGUAACCUGCCCUUGACUUUGGGAUAACUUCAGGCAACUGGGGCUAAUACCGGCUAGGAGCUCCUGCUGCAUGGGGGGGGUUGGAAAGUUUCGGCGGAUGGGGAUGUACUCGCGGCUUAUCAGCUUGUUGGUGGGGUAGUGGCUUACCAAGGCUUUGGCAGGUAGCCGGCCUGAGUGGGUGACCGGCCACACUGGGACUGAGAGACGGCCCAGACUGCUACGGGAGGCAGCAGUGGGGAAUAUUGCACAAUGGGCGGAAGCCGGAUGCAGCAACGCCGCGGGCGGGAUGACGGCCUUCGGGUGGUAAACCGCUUUCGCCUGUGACGAAGCGUGAGUGACGGUAAUGGGUAAAGAAGCACCGGCUAACUACGUG